AUUGAACGCUGGCGGCAGGCUUAACACAUGCAAGUCGGGCGGGGGAAGGUAGCUUGCUACCGGACCUAGCGGCGGACGGGUGAGUAAUGCUUAGGAAUCUGCCUAUUAGUGGGGGACAACAUCUCGAAAGGGAUGCUAAUACCGCAUACGUCCUACGGGAGAAAGCAGGGGAUCUUCGGACCUUGCGCUAAUAGAUGAGCCUAAGUCGGAUUAGCUAGUUGGUGGGGUAAAGGCCUACCAAGGCGACGAUCUGUAGCGGGUCUGAGAGGAUGAUCCGCCACACUGGGACUGAGACACGGCCCAGACUCCUACGGGAGGCAGCAGUGGGGAAUAUUGGAUAAUGGGGGAACCCUGAUCCAGCCAUGCCGCGUGUGUGAAGAAGGCCUUAUGGUUGUAAAGCACUUUAAGCGAGGAGGAGGCUACUUUAGUUAAUACCUAGAGAUAGUGGACGUUACUCGCAGAAUAAGCACCGGCUAACUCUGUGCCAGCCGCCGCAGUAA
RNAcentral lists this ribosomal RNA (500 nucleotides) under uncultured bacterium. RNAcentral describes it as "partial 16S ribosomal RNA". It matches the Rfam family "Bacterial small subunit ribosomal RNA", at positions 30 to 523 of the family's 1533-position model. The record is from RNAcentral.